RNAcentral lists this ribosomal RNA (440 nucleotides) under uncultured bacterium. RNAcentral's name for it is "partial 16S ribosomal RNA". It matches the Rfam family "Bacterial small subunit ribosomal RNA", at positions 338 to 795 of the family's 1533-position model. The record is from RNAcentral.
CCUACGUGAGGCAGCAGUGGGGAAUAUUGCACAAUGGGGGAAACCCUGAUGCAGCGACGCCGCGUGAGUGAAGAAGUAUUUCGGUACGUAACGCUCUAUCAGCCGGGAAGAAAAUGACGGUACCUGACUAAGAAGCCCCGGCUAACUACGUGCCAGCAUCCGCGGUAAUACGUCGGGGGCAAUCGUGAUCCGGAUUUACUGGGGGGAAAGGGAGCGUCGACGGCAGCGCAAGUCUGAAGGGAAAUCCAAUGGCUUAACCAUGGAACUGCUUUGGAAACUGUGCAGCUGGAGUGCAGGAGAGGUAAGCGGAAUUCCUAGUGUAGCGGGGAAAUGCGUAGAUAUUAGGAGGAACACCAGUGGCGAAGGCGGCUUACUGGACUGUAACUGACGUUGAGGCUCGAAAGCGUGGGGAGCAAACAGGAUUAGAUACCCUUGUAGUC